RNAcentral lists this ribosomal RNA (253 nucleotides) under uncultured bacterium. RNAcentral's name for it is "partial 16S ribosomal RNA". It matches the Rfam family "Bacterial small subunit ribosomal RNA", at positions 524 to 776 of the family's 1533-position model. The record is from RNAcentral.
UACGGGGGGAGCAAGCGUUGUUCGGAUUUACUGGGCGUAAAGGGCGCGUAGGCGGCUCCGCAAGUCGACUGUGAAAUCUCCGGGCUUAACUCGGAAAGGUCAGCCGAUACUGCGGGGCUAGAGUGCAGAAGGGGCAACUGGAAUUCUCGGUGUAGCGGUGAAAUGCGUAGAUAUCGAGAGGAACACCUGCGGCGAAGGCGGGUUGCUGGGCUGACACUGACGCUGAUGCGCGAAAGCUAGGGGAGCGAACGGG